Molecule: ribosomal RNA, 255 nt
Filed under: uncultured bacterium
Lineage: Bacteria
Description: partial 16S ribosomal RNA
Rfam family: Bacterial small subunit ribosomal RNA
Source: RNAcentral
UACGGAGGGUGCGAGCGUUGUCCGGAAUCAUUGGGCGUAAAGCGCGCGUAGGCGGCCCUGUAAGUCCGCUGUGAAAGUCAAAGGCUCAACCUUUGAAAGCCGGUGGAUACUGCAGGGCUAGAGUCCGGAAGAGGCGAGUGGAAUUCCUGGUGUAGCGGUGGAAUGCGCAGAUAUCAGGAGGAACACCAAUAGCGAAAGGCAGCUCGCUGGGACGGUACUGACGCUAAGGCGCGAAAGCGUGGGGAGCGAACAGGA